Hemicordylus capensis (graceful crag lizard) is the source of this 492-nucleotide long non-coding RNA. RefSeq lists it as uncharacterized. The record is from RefSeq and is a predicted model, not a curated record. The transcript is spliced from 2 exons. Lineage: Eukaryota; Metazoa; Chordata; Lepidosauria; Squamata; Cordylidae.
AUGUUGGCUCUCUUUUCCUAACACUCAUUUUGUGCUUUUGUCAUUACUGCUGAAAGAGCAAAGGAGGAUACCAAUUAUCCUGCUGGAAGAGGAAGAGCACCAGUUACAUUGGUGUUAGUGCCACUAUAGCAAUGCCAAUCUUAGCUGCACCAUAGGAUUGGCCUGCCUGUACUGUAUUAGGAGUAGCUUGUCGUUAAAAGAAAGGGGUAGAAGAAGAUUGUGGACAACAGUUUUGGGGUUUCUUGCACUACACCAGGAAGAACUCCAUUAAACACAAAGCUUCUUGUUCUGUUGCAAUCUACAAGUCCAAUUACCAGAGCUAAUGGACCCCUGGACCUGCCUGUCUCCACGAGCUAUAGCAAAUUAGAGAUGGUUUGGAGAGAGUAAAAUCUUGUAGCCAACAUUAUUCAGCUUUAUGUAUUGAAGACUCUGCUCAUUUUUAAACAAGCUAUUAUAAUAAACUUGGUGGCGGGUUUUUUGUCCUUAGCCAUG